This 541-nucleotide ribosomal RNA is filed under the name uncultured eukaryote. RNAcentral describes it as "SSU rRNA". It matches the Rfam family "Eukaryotic small subunit ribosomal RNA", at positions 20 to 565 of the family's 1831-position model. The record is from RNAcentral.
GUAGUCAUAUGCUUGUCUCAAAGAUUAAGCCAUGCAUGUCUAAGUAUAAGCAAUUAUACGGCGAAACUGCGAAUCGCUCAUUAAAUCAGUUAUCGUUUAUUUGAUAGUACCUUGCUACAUGGAUAACCGUGGUAAUUCUAGAGCUAAUACAUGCUAAAAAUCCCGACUUCGGAAGGGAUGUAUUUAUUAGAUUAAAAACCAAUGCCCUUCGGGGCUCUCUGGUGAUUCAUAAUAACUUCUCGAAUCGCACGGCCUUGCGCCGGCGAUGGUUCAUUCAAAUUUCUGCCCUAUCAACUUUCGACGGCUGGGUCUUGGCCAGCCAUGGUGACAACGGGUAACGGAGGGUUAGGGCUCGACCCCGGAGAAGGAGCCUGAGAAACGGCUACUACAUCCAAGGAAGGCAGCAGGCGCGCAAAUUACCCAAUCCCGACUCGGGGAGGUAGUGACAAUAAAUACUGAUACAGGGCUCUUUUGGGUCUUGUAAUUGGAAUGAGUACAAUUUAAAUCCCUUAACGAGGAACAAUUGGAGGGCAAGUCUGGU